Molecule: long non-coding RNA, 972 nt
Filed under: Phasianus colchicus (ring-necked pheasant)
Lineage: Eukaryota; Metazoa; Chordata; Aves; Galliformes; Phasianidae
Description: lncRNA (ENSPCLG00000009023.1)
Source: RNAcentral
AGGGCUUUUCUUUCUAGAAGUUGCUGGUAGAGACCUGGAGUUGCUGCUCAGUUGGAUGAUAGCCUGCAUAAACUUCUCUCACACGCAGCAGAGCACAUCAGAUCUUAGCUGCAGGUUCUCAUUGUUAGUUUCCACUGAAGUGAUACAGCUUGUCCUGCAGACCCACUGUCCUCUUGAGAAAAGGGCCUGAGAUGCAGAAGGUGAAUUUCCAGCAGUUAAUUAGCAACCAGGGUGUAAAUAACCAGCAAGAGAAGUGCUCUGGAAGACAUGAGAGAUGGGUGUCAUCAAACAAAACCAGGAAAGAGGGAGAGGAAGGGCAGUGCUACGAAGGACAGGAAGGUGGAUGUUAAAAACAAGGAAAGCAUGAGAAGGAGAGAGACAUCAGACUGAAAUAGCACACGUGAGAAAACUCUCCCAGCAGCUUCAGGCUGUCCUGAAGUGGGAGAUGGGGGCAGGAGGAGGGGGGGGAGUGGGAAGCUGCCAAGAGACCCUGAGUGUAAUCCCAUCAGAACACAGUGAAAAAGGAUGGAAACGAGAACCUUGUGCCACAAAAAUUGGAAAGCUCAAGUUCUGCAUGGCAGAACUGGCAUAGAAAAGUGUUAAAGAGAGAGUUGGUGAGAGGCAUUGCUGCUCUUUAUCUCCUAUACCCACAGAUGCUCUGGGCCUGAAGUUUCUGUGCCUCGGAGGCUUUUCCUUUAUUGCUGACAGUGAGGAAUUUAGAAAACACAAAAGAUGCCCCUUCAGUGAAGCUUUGUUUUUUACCUUUUGACUGUAUUUUUAACUGUUUAAUUAAAAGGGGAAUCAGGUGAUGUAAAGAAUAAGUCACAUACUUGCCUUUGGUUUCUUAUCAGAAUCACCUAAUGAAGCUAUCACCUCAUCACCCAAAUUCUGCAUAGCUGGGCUCUGUCAUAGGGAGUUAUACUUCACAAAGCAGUAAAUAAAUUGCUUAUUCUGCAGGAUGAAAUUAAAAUG